RNAcentral lists this ribosomal RNA (497 nucleotides) under uncultured bacterium. Its description in RNAcentral is "bacterial SSU rRNA". It matches the Rfam family "Bacterial small subunit ribosomal RNA", at positions 10 to 507 of the family's 1533-position model. The record is from RNAcentral.
AGUUUGAUCAUGGCUCAGAUUGAACGCUGGCGGAAUGCUUUACACAUGCAAGUCGAACGGUAGAGGGGGCAACCCUUGAGAGUGGCGAACGGGUGAGUAAUAUAUCGGAACGUGCCCAGUCGUGGGGGAUAACGUAGCGAAAGUUACGCUAAUACCGCAUACGAUCUAAGGAUGAAAGCGGGGGAUCGCAAGACCUCGCGCGAUUGGAGCGGCCGAUAUCAGAUUAGGUAGUUGGUGGGGUAAAGGCUCACCAAGCCAACGAUCUGUAGCUGGUCUGAGAGGACGACCAGCCACACUGGAACUGAGACACGGUCCAGACUCCUACGGGAGGCAGCAGUGGGGAAUUUUGGACAAUGGACGCAAGUCUGAUCCAGCCAUUCCGCGUGCAGGAUGAAGGCCCUCGGGUUGUAAACUGCUUUUGUACGGAACGAAAAGGUUUCUCUUAAUACGAGGAGCUCAUGACGGUACCGUAAGAAUAAGCACCGGCUAACUACGUG